RNAcentral lists this ribosomal RNA (253 nucleotides) under uncultured bacterium. RNAcentral's name for it is "partial 16S ribosomal RNA". It matches the Rfam family "Bacterial small subunit ribosomal RNA", at positions 524 to 776 of the family's 1533-position model. The record is from RNAcentral.
UACGGAGGAUGCAAGCGUUGUUCGGAGUUACUGGGCGUAAAGGGUGUGUAGGCGGUUGUUUAAGUUUGGUGUGAAAUCUCCCGGCUCAACUGGGAGGGUGCGCCGAAUACUGAAUGACUAGAGUGCGGGAGAGGAAAGUGGAAUUCCUGGUGUAGCGGUGAAAUGCGUAGAUAUCAGGAGGAACACCGGUGGUGUAGACGGCUAUCUGGACAGUAACUGACGCUGAGACACGAAAGCGUGGGGAGCAAACAGG